UACGGGGGGGGCAAGCGUUGUUCGGAAUUACUGGGCGUAAAGGGCUCGUAGGCGGCCAACUAAGUCAGACGUGAAAUCCCCAGGCUCAACCUGGGAACUGCGUCUGAUACUGGAUGGCUUGAAUCCGGGAGAGGGAUGCAGAAUUCCAGGUGUAGCGGUGAAAUGCGUAGAUAUCUGGAGGAAUACCGGUGGCGAAGGCGGCAUCCUGGACCGAGAUUGACACUGAUGAGCGAAAGCCAGGGGAGCAAACGGG
RNAcentral lists this ribosomal RNA (253 nucleotides) under uncultured bacterium. RNAcentral describes it as "partial 16S ribosomal RNA". It matches the Rfam family "Bacterial small subunit ribosomal RNA", at positions 524 to 776 of the family's 1533-position model. The record is from RNAcentral.